AGAGAGAGACAUGCGCGCAUAUCAAUAAGCGGAGGAAAAGAAACUAACAAGGAUUCCCUUAGUAACGGCGAGUGAAGCGGGAAGAGCUCAAGUUUGAAAUCUUCAAGGUUUUACCUUGACGAAUUGUAGUUUAAAGAAGUGUUUUCUGUUGAAGUUUUGGUAAAAGUUCUUUGGAAUAGGACAUCAUAGAGGGUGAGAAUCCCGUAUUUGACCAUUAUUUCCAGCUUUGUGAUACACUUUCAAAGAGUCGGAUUGUUUGGGAAUGCAGUCCAAAAUGGGUGGUAAAUUUCAUCUAAAGCUAAAUAUUGGCGAGAGACCGAUAGCGAACAAGUACCGUGAGGGAAAGAUGAAAAGAACUUUGAAAAGAGAGUUAAACAGUACGUGAAAUUGUCAAAAGGGAAGCGUUUGACACCAGUGUUGUUUUCUCGAAAAUCAAUUAAAAAAGGCAGGAUUUUGUGUUGUAUUGACUUUAUCAGCUUUCUGCACUCUUUUCUUGUCUUUUUUAAUGCACUUUUCGUUUAACAAGUCAACAUCAAUUUCUUUUGUUGUAAAAGGGUCAUUGGAAGGUGGCUUUCUUUUCGGAGAAAGUGUUUAUAGCCUUUGGCCUCUGCAAUCGGAGAGAUUGAGGUCUGCAGCGUAGAUCCUUCGGGGUUAGAUACAUUUGUGCUAAGUUAUAGCCUUUCAUAGACAACUUGUUGACUAUGAUCAGUCAUGUAGCUUACUCGCUUAUGCUAUUUUACCUACGCUUAGGAUGUUGAUGUGAUACUGCGAGC
RNAcentral lists this ribosomal RNA (773 nucleotides) under uncultured Neocallimastigales. RNAcentral's name for it is "partial large subunit ribosomal RNA". It matches the Rfam family "Eukaryotic large subunit ribosomal RNA", at positions 23 to 645 of the family's 3401-position model. Lineage: Eukaryota; Fungi; Neocallimastigomycota; Neocallimastigomycetes; Neocallimastigales. The record is from RNAcentral.